This is a non-coding RNA of Schistosoma mattheei, 46 nucleotides long. Lineage: Eukaryota; Metazoa; Platyhelminthes; Trematoda; Strigeidida; Schistosomatidae. The record is from Rfam.
GGACUGCUGAGGAGUCUCAUACUAUGACGAAACGGCCGUCUAGUGC